Molecule: ribosomal RNA, 414 nt
Filed under: Flavobacterium psychrophilum
Lineage: Bacteria; Pseudomonadati; Bacteroidota; Flavobacteriia; Flavobacteriales; Flavobacteriaceae
Description: bacterial LSU rRNA
Rfam family: Bacterial large subunit ribosomal RNA
Source: RNAcentral
GUGGACGCCAGUCUGCAUGGAGCCGACCUUGAAAUACCACCCUUUAAUGUUUGAUGUUCUAACGUGGACCCGUUACCCGGGUUGCGGACAGUGUCUGGUGGGUAGUUUGACUGGGGCGGUCUCCUCCUAAAGAGUAACGGAGGAGCACGAAGGUUGGCUAAUCCUGGUCGGACAUCAGGAGGUUAGUGCAAUGGCAUAAGCCAGCUUGACUGCGAGCGUGACGGCGCGAGCAGGUGCGAAAGCAGGUCAUAGUGAUCCGGUGGUUCUGAAUGGAAGGGCCAUCGCUCAACGGAUAAAAGGUACUCCGGGGAUAACAGGCUGAUACCGCCCAAGAGUUCAUAUCGACGGCGGUGUUUGGCACCUCGAUGUCGGCUCAUCACAUCCUGGGGCUGAAGUAGGUCCCAAGGGUAUGGC